Long non-coding RNA from Amphiprion ocellaris (clown anemonefish), 1411 nucleotides. The record is from Ensembl. NCBI's taxonomy places the organism in Eukaryota, Metazoa, Chordata, Actinopteri, Pomacentridae.
AUUAAACAUUAAAAGGUUGUAAAACAUUUUAAAAGAAAAACCUUAAAGAUUUAAUCGAAAAAUUAAAUAUUGGGAAAGGAAAAAAAAUUCAAACAAGCCGAUAAAACACUUGAAAAAACAAUUAAACAUUAAAAAGACAAAACAUUUCAAAAUCAGAUCAGACAUUAGAAAAGAAUAAAAGGUGAGAAAAGAGCAAAACUAAACAUUUAAGAAGAAUCAAACUAAAGAUAAAACCUUUGAAAAGACACCAGUUAGACUUUAGAAGAUCAAAUUAAACAGAAGAGACAAUAAAACGAUCAAAAAGAGCAAAAACAGAUAAAGGUCUUAAAGCGUUUUCUAGUCUGAAAUGAAAACAUCAACUUGUUUCUUCAAACAUUUCCUCUUUCUAUGUUCUUGGUUUGAUUGUAGACAGAUUUCCUAAGUGCUCAUUUCAGAAAACUGCUUUCCAGAUAAAGUCUACUAGUAGUUGAAGGCAUCGAUCAAACUAAUGUUACCUUCUGAUCUCCACAAACUUUACUGUUCAGUGAAGAGAAUCAAAGUUUGUUGAGGAUUUCUAAAAAACCCACAGGUGAAGGUCCGAGAAGAACUCAGAUCGAUGGUCUAAAUGUGAAAUCAAGACUCAUGGUCACAAGUUUUAAGGCUUCUGUUAACCAGAAAGUUCAAACUAACAGAGAAGUACUGAGAAACCUUUAAGAUUUCAGUCCUCAGACUGUCUAAAGGUUCAAACUAAAAGAGAACUACUCAAGAACUUUUAUGAUUUCAGUCCUCAAACUGUCAAAAGGUUCAAACUAACAGAGAAGUACUCAGGAAAUUAGAAGAUAUCAGUCCUUGGACCGUCUGAAAGUUAAAUCUAACAGAGAACUACUCAGGAACUGAGAAGAUAUCAGUCCUCAGACUGUCUGAAGGUUCAAACUAACAGAGAACUACUGUGGGACUUAGAAAAUUUCAGCCCUCAGACUGUCUGAAAGUUCAGGUCUUGAGGACUUGGGAGGUCUGGAGGCUUUGGAAAGUCUUGGAACUAAGGGUUCAAACCUCCAGCACAAAGGCUGAAGUCCAACCUCCUGAGAAAAACAGUCGAGACGAGACUCGAGUUAAAAAAAAAAAAACAACUCGAAAACGACAAAAAAUAGAUGAUAAAUGCGCAAAAAAAAGAUGAUUUAGUAUCUGAGCAAGUAGCUCAGGGGAUAAGAAGAAAGACUACCAAGUGGAAGGUAACAGGUUCAAGACCCACCACUGGCCUUUUUCUUUGUUUGUCUUUGUCAGGAUUUUGAUAAAAAUUUAAGAAGGGUCUGGUCUUGAACCAGCAACCUGCAGCUCCACCGGCAAAUCCUUAACUCACUGAGCUACAGAAUGAAACAAUUUCGUCGUCCCUUUGUCAUCGUAGUUUCCAAGUGACCACAUGGGCGGAGCC